Molecule: ribosomal RNA, 17 nt
Filed under: Trichoderma longibrachiatum
Lineage: Eukaryota; Fungi; Ascomycota; Sordariomycetes; Hypocreales; Hypocreaceae
Description: partial 18S ribosomal RNA
Source: RNAcentral
CCUCGGAGGGAUCAUUA